Molecule: ribosomal RNA, 360 nt
Filed under: Triticum aestivum (bread wheat)
Lineage: Eukaryota; Viridiplantae; Streptophyta; Magnoliopsida; Poales; Poaceae
Description: partial small subunit ribosomal RNA
Source: RNAcentral
AUGGACCUUUGCUUCGACUCGUUCACAGCAGAAGCAAUUGCAGUGAGGUUUGGUUUAAAUCUUGCUAAUACUGUUGGAUGCAGUAAGUUUGAUGUGAAUUCGGAUGGUGUGGAGGUGGUGAAUGCGUUGAGCCAAGGCUACUCUUCUUUAGUAGCUUCGUCCAUCAUAGAUGACUGUUAUUUCAUGUCAUUAGAUUUUUCCCAUGUCACUUAUGAUCAUUGUAAUAGAGAAUGUAAUCGAGUGGCUCAUGAACUAGCAAGGUUAGCAAGGUUUUCUUCUUCGAGUGUUUGGAUGGAUAACGCCCCUGAUGAGGUUAUCCCUUUACUUGUAAACGAUGUUACUUUACUUAUAAAUGAAUAA